ACUGACAGCCAUGGUUACCGCGGCUGCUGGCACGGAGUUAGCCGGUGCUUCUUCUGUGAGUGAUGUCCUUCCUGCCGGUUAUUGACCCGCAGGCCUUCUUCCUCACUGAAAGUGCUUUACAACCCGAAGGCCUUCUUCACACACGCGGCAUGGCUGGAUCAGGGUUGCCCCAUUGUCCAAUAUUCCCCACUGCUGCCUCCCGUAGGAGUCUGGGCCGUGUCUCAGUCCCAGUGUGGCUGAUCAUCCUCUCAGACCAGCUACGGAUCGUCGCCUUGGUGAGCCGUUACCUCACCAACCAGCUAAUCCGACAUAGGCUCAUCCGAUAGCGCGAGGCCCGAAGGUCCCCCGCUUUCCCCCGUAGGGCGUAUGCGGUAUUAGCCUGGGUUUCCCCAGGUUAUCCCCCACUACCGGGCAGAUUCCUAUGCAUUACUCACCCGUCCGCCGCUCGCCACCAGGGAGCAAGCUCCCCGUGCUGCCGCUCGACUUGCAUGUGUUAGGCCUGCCGCCAGCGUUCAAU
Molecule: ribosomal RNA, 517 nt
Filed under: uncultured bacterium
Lineage: Bacteria
Description: partial 16S ribosomal RNA
Source: RNAcentral